UUAGUUUUUUAAUGUUUAUUUAUUUGUUUUUGAGACAGAGAGAUAGAGUGUGAGCAGGGGAGAGGAAGAGACAGAGGGAGACAGAGACUCCCAAGCAGGAUCCGCACUGUUAGCACGGAGCCCUACGCAGGGCUGGGACUCACGAUUUGUGAGAUCCUGACCUGAGCCAAAACCCAGAGUUGGACGCUCAACCGACUGAGCCACCCAGGCGCCCCCCACCUUUUAAAAUGUUAUAUAUAGAGAGAGUGCAAGUGGGGGAGAGGGGCUCUUAAGCAGGUUUCAUGCACAGUGUGGAGCCCGAUGUGGGGCUCAAUCCCUGGGAUCAUGACCUGAGCCUAAUUCAAGAGUCUGAUGCUCAACCAAUGGAGCCACUCAGGCGCCCCUCACCUCUUCCUUUCUGCAAGUACCACAUCUCCCCCCUACACCGAGCACUUUUCUUCCUUGCAUCCAUUUGUCUCAGGGAGAGUUGACCCCCAUACCUCAAGAGUCACCCCAUUGGCCUGAGGGGAAUUCUGUUCCCCUUGAGGGCAGUUGGUUCAGGCAAAGGCAUAUGACCCAGUCUGACAAAUACCCUGAGAAGUCCAGGGAGGACUGGGGAGUUUUCUCCCUCUUGAGAGAAAGCCAUAGUAUAUCAGUUAGAAAUGUUUUUAUCAGCAAGUAACGGAACCACCCCCCCAUACACACACACACACACACACACACACACACACACACACACUGACAAAUAACGGUUUAAGAGUGAAGAUAUUUAACGAGCUCAGUAUAAAAGUCUGGAGGUAGGUGGUUCCUGGCAUUGGUGUCUCAAAUAAUAUUAGGAUCAACAUCUCUGUGAUUCUCUUUUUCUUUCAUUAAUGGUGUUUAAAAGGCUGCCACUCCAGCCGUUAUGUCCAUGUUGAGGCCUGGGAAGAAAGGAACUUUGUCAGGGACUGAAACCUGUCCCUUUUCUAAUCAACGAUUUCCCAGAAAUGCCCUGGUUUUCUUUCACUUUCAUCUCAUUGGACAGCACUGUCACCUGGCCACUUCUAGCUGCAAGGCAGACUGGGAAGGUGAGUUUUUGGCUCUUCUUGUCUAUAGAAGAAACGGGAAAUGAAGAAGACAUUGGGUUGAGAAGUGGGACUAGGUUAGCUACACCCAGGAAGCAAGCCUCCGGUGUCUGGGAUCACUGCUGCCAUCUUGGUUCUGGCCGGAGCAGAGAGAUAGAAGGAACCUACCUACAGCCCAGAUGAAAAGUGAGCAAAGUAGGUCAAGAUACCAUUCACGGAGAAAGGAAAAAGUAACCCUCAAGCAUGUGAAAAGAUGCCCAACUUCACUCAUAAGAGCAAUUAAAAUCGAAAUAACACCACGAUACUACCUUUUUACCUAUCAGAUUGGCAAAAAUCCAAAUGUUUGACAACACAUUCUGUUCAUAAGGUUGUGGGGAAACAGGCAUUCUCCUGCGUGAAGGGCAAAAUAGCACGAUCUCCUGUGGUGGUGAAAGAGUGGAUAAAGGAACGCAUGAACUAGGGUCUUGAUGUCCUCAUCAAGAUGCCACAUCAACUGACCUGUGGCACAGGGCCCAGCCUCCUGUGGGACUUCUGGUAAAUGACACAAUCAGUGUCCUCACUGAUUAAGCCCGUUUGAGGAGAGUUUUUGUUACCCAGAACCCACGAUAUCCCAAAUGAUGCCCCUGCCUCCCACCUGAAGCCCAGGAGCAAAGGUAUUCUGGCCAGAAGCCAGAUCAUGGAAUCUCAUUGGGUCACCCGGUGACUAGCCAAACCCAAGCAGGUACGGAUCCAAAAGCUGAGCUCAUUGCUGACAGAAGAAUUCCUCCCAGAGAAUGGGCCGUGAGCCUAUUCCCAAAUCAGUGGGUGGGUAACUGCCUAAGGUGAUAUCUAACCCGUGUGGUCAUGAGAGGGGGCUGCGUCUUGAGUGGUUGAAAGGCCUGUUGGAAUCCAAAUUGUAAGGACUGCCCUAAGGACUUAGACCUUGAGGUGGUGAGAGGGCUGCCUCGGUCUUGCUUGACCGGAUGUCCUAGCUUGCUAUUUGGUUUCUUGGAUUGCCUUUAUUUGCAUUUCUUAUUCACGGGGCAACCUCCUGGUUCCUGAGUAUUCCCAAAUUGUGUGGCAAGUGAAGAAAUUAGGCUUCUGUUUGUCUUUUGAAAAAUUGCUCGUGAAGAAUGGACAGGCCCAGUGGAAUCCCUUCAUCCUCCCAUCCAACAUUCCUCACUAAUGACCUUCCUAGUCUGAGAUGCGGUUAAAGACGGAUGGCUCGUGCCCUCGGGCUACACCGCUUCAUAUGCUGCAUUUCAAAAUCCAUGCCCUCUGUACUGAACACCAAUGACUGGGACAAACUUCCAGGAUAUUCAGAGUAGCUGGUAGCCACUCGUGAAACCCUAUCCAUGUGUAGGCCUGCACCAAUUCUGCCCAGGUGUCAGGCAGGCGAGAGCCAGGAUACCUGGCUUCUGAGGAUGGGAGCCUUCAUGGCCCUGGGGAUCCAAAGGACUUGGUUUGUUCCCUUCUAAGGCGGAGUCGAGGCCAGAACAAAGGCAUAAGCAAGAAAAACCUCAUUGAGGUCAUACUGCCAACGGACAUUCUGAUGCCCACAGCCAGGGGCAGUAAGAGGUGUGUAAGUGGGCCAGUGUGAUCCCUGGUGGGGUUCCUGUGUGAUCACGUGGCAGCCCGACAGGAGCAGGAAGGUGGGUGGGAAUGCAGGGUCUUCCGCAAGGACAGAACAGAAAGCAGGUGCCAAGAGCGCCACCGUACCUUGGGGGCGUGAUGGCUGUAUCUCCAAAGUGGGUAGAUGCUGGCCUCUUCCUUGGCAUCCUUCUAGCCCCCAGAAGGGCUCAGUCUGUGGGCGUGGCAAUCGUCCAGACUCCCCUCCAGCCGUAUUUCCGGCAACCGUCCCGCCACCAGCGUCAUACGCACUCUGAUCACUGCUCUGAGCACAUGUAUAUUUAGUUUGUCCCCUGCUGUUCAUUUGUGAUUGUUUGCAGGUUGUGUCAUGUGUGUAUGUUAUGUCUACGCUGGAUACAGGCCCCUGAGACCAAGGUCUGUCUUCUAGUUUUUGUGAAUCACCAUCCCCCUCCUCCACAAACCACACCCCCACCCCCCCCACCAGGAAGAACUAGCACCUACUACGGGGCAUUGCAUAACACAGACAAAAAUGCUUGUAAAUAAGUUACCAUUACUGACAGUCCGAGGUUCACCCCCACUGUGAACCAACACUGUGGAGGGAAAAGCUGAGGUUCAGAGCCGAGGAACACGUAGAGAGGGGCUCUUUGUUAAGAACAGACCAGGCAUCUAUUUGCCCGAGAGGGCUGUCAGAAUUACCAAAAAAAAUUGGGAGGCGUGUCCCAUAGCCUCAUGGGACACAUGCACCUGGGAAGAUUCUUCACAGACCUGGCAGAUAGCGGGAACGACAAUUGCCAGCCAUCACAUCACCCUGCCAUAGCAGAUCAGUGCACAAGAAAUUAGAAUCCGAACAUUUUGCUAUGGCUUGGCGAAAUCUAAGACAGCUUUUUUCCAGAAGUCUUUUACUAUGAGAUUCCUUGACAUGGCGACCCGUCCAACUUAAAGGAUUUAUUCGUGUUGUCAGCUUUUCAGAAAGGUAUUUCUUGAAACAAAACAACGAAAAACACCGACUUCGAAGGGAGGGCGCACAUUGUAGAGGUCGCGGGAAGACCAAGGUGCGGGGUGGCUCCUGGCCACCAGGGGGCGUGGUCUCCCCGGUCCUCGGCUGCAAAGCCAACCGUGGCGACCGCAGCCCGCCCCGCACUACCUGUCACAAGGCCCGCAGCCCCCUCCGCGAAGCCCGGGCCCGGGGAUCCAGGUGGGCACCAGGCCUCUUCUCCCACUUGGGCAUUUCCUGCAGCGGCCCGUCCAGGUUUCACCAUGUCAGUGAGGCCCUGGAGCCUCACCAGCUCCAGGAAGCCCCCUCUGAUUACUCCAGAGUGAGGAAAAGGGUCUAGUCGGCCCCAUAUACAGUUAUAUCCCCAGCGCCUAAAACUAUGCCUGGCACAAGUGGGGGCUCGAGAGCAAGAGGGAAGUUUUGGACGAUGGCGUCUUCCUCGGACGGUCUCAGGAGUGUGGCUGUUUUGAAAAAUCAGGCGUUGCUGCCCGAGGCGCUUCAGGCUUUCAACAGCCCUCUUAGGAAUUGAAGACAGCCCCUGAAUAGAAAUAAAGGAAGGGGAAGAGUGCUUAUGAAGUGCGUGAUCGGUGUUUUCAGUCGGAUCACUCAGGGGGACGUCCCGCAGCGCUCCUCUUUCUCAGGAUCCCGGUGAUUGACGUCACAAGCCCUUCCCGGAGACUGUGCAGCGAGACGCUGGAGGAGAACCGAGAAGUGAGACGUCAGUGAGUCAGAACUCAUUCAAAGCCCCGGAGUUUCCCGGCCGUUACCUUCCACGCCUGGGCCUAUGAGUCAGGGUCAUCUCGCCCCCGUUGUGUGUGGUGCCUACAUGCUUCCCUGCCCUGCUCUUCCGGGGGCCCCAUCCCAGCCUUCACGCGUGCACACACACCGGCCCCGGCCGGCCGCGCGUCCCCUGCCGCGUGUCCCGGCGAGGGUGCGGGUGCAGGCGCGCCCGGCUUAUUCACUCACCCCCCGGGGGGUGUGCACGGGCCCCUUGGGUGCUGAGCUCAGGCUCCGCACGGCCAGAGACGAACCGAAAAAAGAAAAAUAAAUAUUAGUACUUCCUUUCCCAUAAAUGUUGCAACAGUCUAGCUGUAGCUUAGAGCGUCUAUUUUUUUAAGUCCAUUUAUUUAUUUGGGGGGUGGGAGGGGCAGAGCAGGAGAGAGAAAGAAUCCUAAGCAGGCUCCAUGCUCAGUGUGGAGCCCGGG
Long non-coding RNA from Neofelis nebulosa (Clouded leopard), 4811 nucleotides. RefSeq lists it as uncharacterized. Lineage: Eukaryota; Metazoa; Chordata; Mammalia; Carnivora; Felidae. The record is from RefSeq and is a predicted model, not a curated record. The transcript has 5 exons.